CCAGGAUUUUCAGAUUGGCAUACCGAAUCAUUACAUCUCUUGUUAGGUAGUUCAGAUUUAUAGUCAGUAACCUCAUCUGAGCUGUAGAGAUGUUCUACUCUCAAACCUAAGAAAGUUCAUUGGAUUUUCAUGAGUAAGGGCUCCUUUCCCAUGACAGAGUUCAGCUUCUUGAUUAGGGAUAAGUGGAUGUAAAGAUUAUGAAGAAAACUAAAUCUCCUCAUUAUAACUGAGUUUAAUUUCAUAAACAUUUUCUUCGCCUGUUUGCAAAUGUUGCAGAUUAUUUUGUUUCUGUCACUGGGAAUUAGGUAUUGAGUAUCAGAAUAUUGGCCACUUUCUGUAUUUUUGUUUUGCUCUGAAUCGGCAGAGGCAGAUAUGUGUGCAGUGCAAUCGUUCUAAGAAGUUCCCUUGCUUUCUCAACUGUGAGAUUUGUUUUAAGGUUCGAAAAAAUUUCUUCCCUCCACGGCCGCGUGGGAGAAAGAGAAAAAGGAGAUCUUCAAAUUCUGCCAAGAAACGACGCCUGACUACUUUAUCAGACAUCUGUGAAGAGAAUGUGGUUUUGAAAAGUGGUGGUGAUACUGCAGGGCCUUCAAAUAUCCGUACGGAUAGUGGUUUAGGAUCAAGUCAGGAGUUUUCAUGCAGGACGGAACCUAAAUGUGUAACUGAUUCACAAAAAGUACCUGGGGUCCCUAGCAGUAGCAACUCUGACAUAUGUAUGAUGUGCUUGGUGAAUCCAAAGAAUGGUAUAUUUGUCCAUGGCAAAAUAGGUCAUAUAUGUUGCUGUUAUAAGUGUGCAUUAAAAGUUUGGACAGGAGUUAGAAGGUGCCCUUGUUGCAAUUGUAAGGUUAACAAUGUGCUUAAGGCUAUAGUGUUAUGAAAUUGAACUGAAUUGCAACUUGCAGUUCACAACCAUUUUUAUUGGACACUGAUUUUGAAUUUGAUUAUUUGGCAGGUUUAAUUUUAUUAUGGGAAUGAAGUGAUUUUAUUUCCAGCUAAUAUAAUCCAGAUAUGUUACUAGUAAAGAGACCA
This is a long non-coding RNA of Cryptotermes secundus, 1026 nucleotides long. RefSeq lists it as uncharacterized. Lineage: Eukaryota; Metazoa; Arthropoda; Insecta; Blattodea; Kalotermitidae. The record is from RefSeq and is a predicted model, not a curated record. The transcript is spliced from 2 exons.